UCUGGAUCCUUCCUCCAGGAUUUUCAGCGCUGGGGAGCUCUCCUUUCUGCAGUGUGGAGGAGCGCUGGGCAGGAGGCGGCACCGAGGAGAAUGAGGACAAUGUGAUGCUCAGCCGCUGAGGCCAAUCCAGGGAGCCUGCCUUGAUCUCUGCGAUCAGGAAUGUGGCUGAGCAGAUGCAGCUUCUACCUCCAAAUGGACACGCCUCUCAGAUGCUCUGUUGCUAGAAGGGUCCUGGCAGUGCAGGGAAAGGUGGCUCUGCACUGGAGGCUCCACAUAAAGGGCUCAAAACUUCUGGUCCAGUGGCUAAAAGCUGUUCACAGGGAUGACUGGAACCUACUAAGCAUUCUUUCAUCUGUAGUGAACAUUUUACCAAAAAAAACUCUUGGGCAGGCUGGAGGAUCAGUACUACGUGCUCAAGCCCACGGCCUUGCCCUCCAACUUCCACUUGACUGAGAAGGAGGAGCUGAAGGCCGUGGCCACCCAGGAGAAAUGACACCAAGAUAGCCGCCGGGGGCCUGAGGAACAUGCGAGUGAAGCAGAGGGGAAAGGAGCUUCAGGUUCAUCCUCAUCCUUGAGGGAAAACCUGAGGGCCCAGCCAGGGUCCCGCAAGUUGAAGAGAGCCCUUCUGCAGGGCGAACCCGCACCCAGUGCCACCCAGGAAGCCACCAGUCAGGCGCGGGCACAGAGUCUCUGGAAGGAACUCCAGGAGACAGUGUGGCCUCCACAGUGUGUGGCAGCCUGGGAGAUGCAAACACUUCUGCUGU
This is a long non-coding RNA of Diceros bicornis minor, 764 nucleotides long. RefSeq lists it as uncharacterized. The transcript has 4 exons. NCBI's taxonomy places the organism in Eukaryota, Metazoa, Chordata, Mammalia, Perissodactyla, Rhinocerotidae. The record is from RefSeq and is a predicted model, not a curated record.